CUCGGCCCGGCUCCCUGCUCUGACCCUGAUCCUGACUCGUCCCCUCAUCCAGCCCUCUGUAUCCUGGGGUAACACCAUUCCCCGAGCUGCAACCUCUCACUCCCCUGCGUAUUUCUCAGGGAGUAAAGUUUCUCCCAACCACAGGAUAAAUGAACGACUGGACACAGAGGGAUGGGAGAAAAUAGGGGGACUAAGGAUUUUAUGCCCCUGAAACAGCAACAGGUAUCAGUCUGUGCCAGACUCCUUGUUUCUCCUGCUGGAGCACAUAUCAAUACCUAAUGGCUCUGCUCUCAUCACUGCUGCUGCUUUCCUGCUCCCAGUAUUGAGGUUCUUUCAUUUUCACAGAUAUGCAAAGAAUUCCAAGCACCUGGGAUCAAAAAGAUUUCUUGACAUAAAAUAUUUCAGAGUGAUUGCAGCAUGACUCAUUCUUUCUGAAGAGCUGGAGCUGGCCAUAGAAACAUCAGCUCCCUCAUACAGGAUGAGCUCAUCGCUUGUCAUACACAUGCACCUCCCAUGGAAGGGGGUUCAGGCAGGGGCAGGGGACUCCUGCAACCCUGCUGGCCAUGUCCCUGCACCCCAUCCAUCCUGGUGUAUCUGCUGCAGAUGGAAAAUCCUAAAUCUAGAACAGUCUUCCUGAGGCUUGGGGCAAACUGGAGAAAUGCCCUGUGUGCCUUGAUUACUCUGUGAAGUAAUUGCUCCUGCCGCCCUGAGAUCAUUUUGCUCAUAACCAGCCCAAAAGAUCUCAGAGUGGUAGAGGAAGACAGAAUGGUUUUUUGUGUCCUGCCUUUGUCUAUGCUGACUUCAUCCUGUCCUCGUGAGUUUGCUGGUGUGCACCAGUGCUCCCUCAGAACUGGUGGGAUCCUUUGCAGUGGGAAAUGCUCCCCCAUGUCAAGCUGGCUGACCAGGAGAUGCUGAACAGAUGUCUGAAUGGCCUGAGUGUCCAUGUGCUACUGUCCUGCUCCAGCCCCACCUUUCUCCCUCUUUUGACCACAUGCCAAAAUCCCAGCCCAUGCCUCUAGUGGGGCUGCAGGGAUGCUGCUUUUGUUCAUCUGUGUCCAACCCUGUCACCAUCUGUGAACAAGCUCUCUCACUGGCCUGUCUCCAGGAUGCUGCACCUGAACCUGUGGAAAUGAAGUUCCCCAGUGCUCUCCACACCUCCUCAAAGUGUUAAUGAGAUGAUGGACCACAUACAGAGCAGUUGUGACACUCGGGCUCCUGAUGUGCAGAGGGCUGUCAGUGCAGAGAGCAGAGGCAGGGACCAGACUCGCCAUGGCUGAGGUGAUGACCAAUGGAUCUGGCUCCAAGAAAGGCUGGAGAGCUGCAAAAAGUGCCUGUAGAAAUCUGCUCCAUUUGAUUUUGCCGUUGACCUCAUCUUGUCAAAAGAUCUGCGUCUGGAAAUGCAGGGACUUCUGCUGGAUCACCUCAGGGGCCUGCUGGCUUUUUCCAAGAAAGCACCAGCUAUGAAAAAGAGAAAUUCACUGCAAGAGAGCUGUAUCGACUCUUCCCCAAUAUGUCAUAUUUAUCCAUCUGUUCCCUAACGAUGCCAGUUUCCUCCUCCGUAUGCCAAUUUUUGUUCAUUUGCAGAGAACAGAUGUGUCAUUUAUCAGCCUGGGACUCCCUGGCUGCCUCCCAGGAAGCAAUUCUGGUGUCACAGUUGCCACCUUCCAGUCCUCACGUCCCCUGCUGUACCCAGACCCUGGAGUUGGUUCGGCUGUCACCCAGCAGAUGUGACAUCCCCUUGGUCCCUGCUGUGCUGCACAGUGGGUGGAUGUGGCUUGCUCCCGGGAGGAAAGGAGCAGGCACACAGGCACUCCAAAGCUCCUGCAAAUGGCUUUUGUUUGAAGCUGUGGAAGCAUCUGGAGAUUCAAGGCUUCCCUGCAAGCCAGGGUCGAUGCUGGCAUCAGGGGAAGGAGUCCACCCAGCACCUGACUCAAGUGACACGUGGGGAAGUGUCAGAUCAGCCCCCACAUUACCUGGGGCUGAGUCAGCGGGAGUGUGCAGGGGCAGAGACCUUCUGCUCUGAGUCACCGGAUGCUGCUGCCUGGGGGACGCUGGGCUGUGUCCGCACCACCCAAGGUUAAA
Molecule: long non-coding RNA, 2082 nt
Organism: Passer domesticus (house sparrow)
Lineage: Eukaryota; Metazoa; Chordata; Aves; Passeriformes; Passeridae
Exons: 4
Source: RefSeq, a predicted model, not a curated record